CACGUGUAUUUUAUUUUUAUAGUUUAUAGGUAUUCUGAUAUCAAUAUAUUUUUGUAUAUUUCUUUAUUUUUAGUACAUAUUUAAGCGCUUAUAUACAUGUUUUAGAUUCUGAGUGAAGCGAGAAAUGUAUUUGUAUUACAAUGAUGUUAAUAAUUUUUUUUCUACCAACAAUUUUGCUCCCAUUUUCAAUGAUAGCACAUUUUUUAGAGAAAAUCUAACUGGUGUGGUACUUUAAUGAGACCAUUUUUAAAUUUCCCCUGCUGUUUUUACAAUAGAUGGAAAAAACCAGGAAUAAACAUGGGAAAAAUCGGAAAAAAACAUGGGAAAAAAAGGAAAAUAAGUACAAUAUUAAAUAAAUAUUAUUAAAGAAAAUAUAUAAUGAAAAUAUUAUGUAAUUAUUUUACCAUAAUAUGACAUACAUGUGAAACCCUUGAUAAAGCAACACUAUUAAUCGAACUCCGCUCAGAAUCGUUUUUCGUUAGUAAUGGAUAAUCGUUGCCUACAUUAAAUUUCCCCUCUACCUUCCUAACUUUUCAUCUACAACAAUGGUCCUCCCAUGAGUGAAGUAUGUUUAAGUGCAUAUUAUUUCGCUUGUGUAACAACCUUUUUUAGAGUUGCAAGUAACUUUUUAGAUUCCAGAUUAUAACCGUUUGUUUAUGUACUAUCUAAUUUCGUAGUCAUAUUUAAUAACACGUAUCGUUACUGGUUGUCGGUGUAUAGAUUUUGACAGACCCGCCUUUAAUCAUCUGCGACGAACCAACGUCGGGACUAGAUUCAUUUAUGGCACGAAAAGUAAUCAAUAUACUCCAGACGAUGGCUUUGAAGGGCAAAACGAUAAUUUGCACAAUCCAUCAGCCGUCAUCAGAAGUGUAUCACAUGUUUGAUAAAAUACUGCUGUUGGCCAACGGGCGGACCGCUUUUUUGGGCGCACCAAAUGAAGCCAUCGAAUUCUUCAAUAGGUGUAUAAUAUAUGUAUAAUAAUAAUAUUAAUAUUAUAUAAUAUUUAAUCAUUUUUAACGUGCAUACGUUCAAAUAAAUUGUAUUAUAAUAGAUCAAUGUAGUCUUGUACUCUUAUAGAAAUAUUUUAUUGUCUCUAUUACAUCAGUUAUCGAGAUUGAAAGUUGUCACUCCGCAUAAAUACACAUUUACAAUUAGGACUGUAAAAUUAGUUAUGUUUAUUCCACGACAGGCUCGGUGUAUGUUUUCCGAACAAUUAUAAUCCGGCGGAUUUUUUCGUUCAGCUCUUGGCCAUCGUACCAACACGAGAACUGAGUUCAUACGAAACAAUCAAUACGAUCUGCGAGGAAUACAAAAACUCACCGUACAACAAAUACUGUACGAUGAACCACCAAAAUAUGAAUUUGUAUCCAACCAAAGAGGUGUUUAUUUAUUAAUACAAUAUUAUAGUCUUUUCUUAGCGGUAAUUGCGACGGUUUUGUUUAUUAGCUCUCAGUGGAUUGCAGUCGUCGAUGUUCGAAUGGUCCCUAUAAUAUUUCGUCUCUGUACAACGCCUCGUGGACCGAACAAUUUUCAGCAGUCUUCUGGCGGUCGUGGCUGAACGUCAAAAAAGAACCGGCACUCAUCAAAAGCAGGAUUUUCGAAACGAUGGUAAGUCAGUUAUCAAACAUAUACAUAUUUAUUAUUGACUUAAACCUUUCCUGUGCACACAGAUAAAAGCCGCUCUGGUGAGUACAAUUUUCUAUAACGAACGUUUUGAUCAGGACGGCGUGAUCAUCAUUAACGGAGCUCUCUAUUUUUGUAUGAGCAUGAUGACCUACCCGAACAUAUUCAUCGUUAUCAACGUGAGUACCAUCUUAACAGGGACGGCACGAGGGGUAGGGGGCAAUCGGGGAGUUUACCCCGGGCCCCGCGAUUUUAAAAUUAUAAUUAAGGCCCCGCAGUUCUGAAAUGAUUUCUACUGUUCAAAGGUUUUACUAAAUUUCCAAAAUUUUAUUUAUUGAAAAUAUAAUUCGUAAUAAAUUAUUUUAUAUAAAACAAUUUUUAUUGUUGAAAAUAAUUCUUUAUACUGUGAAUCGAAUGCGGAAUAGUUAUUUUUAGACGUCAGUCGUGACGGCCUUAUCAGUGGAGGCGACUAAGUAUAGGGACUAGUACUAGUACUAAAAGUAUAAGGAAGUAUGAUGUACUAUUUUUAAUACUUUUAUAUACAUUUCGGUUUUAUACGAUAAUCAAUAUUAUACUAUAUAUUACACCACCAGCAUAGAGUAAAGACAAGUAUGACCACUAGUGUGCUGCGUGUGUCUGUGUGUGUUUUUGUCUUUCGAGCAUUUGAGUUGGUACGCUGGUUAUAUGAUUUUUCUUACAGUGUUAUUAAUGUGUAAUUGAAAGAUUAUUCACGAUUAUUAUUAUUUAUUCACAGAUAAUUUUUACCUUCAUAUAAUUAUUAUUUUACAUUUCCACGUAAUAUGACUAGUAGACUGUGAUAAGUUUCGAAAGUAUAAGAGUGGUAAUGACAAAACAAAAUUAAAACAAAAUUAAACAAAAAUGAGACAAAUUUUUAAAAUUGCAACAAGGAUCUUUUGAGCGAUUUCUUAAGAAUGAUAGAAAUAACAAGGUAUAACAGGAUAACUAUUUUACAUUCUAUACAGUACUUUUACUAUAUUCAGUUCAGAUAUAUGAUUUAAUUACAAUUUUUCUAUAAUUAAUUUUUUAAUUUUUGUUUAUUUAAUAAAUUGUAUACCAUUAUCAUCUAUACCAGUAAAAUUAUAUUAUAUUUUAUUUAUAUUUCAACGUUUAUAAACAUUGAUAUCAUGAAGUUGUGAAUUUAUUGGUCAAUUUCAGAUAGAUAGUAAAUGAAGAAACCACUCUUCUUGAAGCUAUGUUAAUGGCAAAAUAUUCUUUAGAAUGUUUUCCAAAUAUUAGUUUUUCUCUGAGAAUUUUACUGAAAAUACCAGUAACUUUGGUAUGUGCCGAGAGAAGCUUUUCGAAAUUGAAAUUAAUUAAAACAUAUUUGAGAAACAAAUUAAGUCGAGAAAACUUUUCUGGUCUUUCAAUAAUUUCAAUAGAAAAAAAUAUUUCUAAAUCUAGAUUAUAAUAAUAUCAUAAAUCAGUAUGCUGCUAAAAAAUCAAGAAAAGUAAUUUUUUUUAAAUAUUAUUUGUAUGACUGAUGUAAUCAAUAAUUUUUAUUGUUUGUUAAUAUUGUUUUUUCUGUUAUAUUAAUUACAUUUUUAAAUUUAUUAAAAUAUAAUGUAUGUGUAUAAAACGAUGGUUGAUAUUUGAUAAAAUUGGUUUAGUAAGUACCUAGUUCAUUUGGCUAUGUAAUUAAAUUUUCGAGCGGAGCGUGUACUUAUAGUAUUUAAAAGAUCACACAUAAACUGUUAUUUACUUUGCAGAGGGCCCCGCAAAUCCUAGCGCCGUCCCUGCACUUUAAACUUACAGUGAUUUUCUGAUUUUAGACCACUAAUCUUAUCUAAAAUUGUUAUCAUAUCACUCAGGAGUUUUGUUCAGAGCUACCAGUGUUUAUAGCCGACCACCGUAACGGAUUGUACCGAACGGAUGUGUACUUCUUGAGUAGGACUUUAGCCGAAGUACCGAUAUUCUUGAUGAUACCGAUACUGUUUACGUCUAUAGUUUACUACAUGAUUGGCUUGAACCCGAAAUUUGAACAUUUCCUUACAGCUAUGUUGUUCAUGACGCUCGUCACUCAGGUGGCCGUUUCGGUGGGUAAGGAAAUUUUAGCAUACCAAUUUAUAUACGGAUGUCUGCAUAUGAACCUAAUAAUAUUAUUCUGAACUCUGUUUAAUAAUGGCAAAAAAAUCCCACAAAUUUAUGGAAAAAACAUUUUAUUAUUUUUGAUUUUUUCAAUUUUGCUUUCCCACCAAACAUUAUCUUGCUCCGAAAUUUAAAUGUAGUAUCUUUCUUGAAAGAAAAUUUUAUCUAGUUGAUGCAAAGAAGGUCCAAACAUCGCCCAGAAUCGUAUUUCGUCAGUAAUGAUUUAUCAUUCCAUUAAAUACUCUAAAUAAAUACUACUGCAUACGGAUAUACAUUAAACAACUUUACGAGUAUGUAUCUUAAUACCUUUUUUUAUUUUUAAUAUUUUCAUUGAAGAUUAUACGUAACAUUCAGUAUUUAUUAUAAUUUUUUAUUUGGAUUUAAAAAUAUAAGAAACAUUUAGUACGCAAAUAAUUUUAAUUACUCACAAAUUUUUAUUUUUUAGCAAAUAAAAAUUAAUCUUCAACGAUAAAUAUAAUUUUAAAUAAUAGAACACAUAUUAUAAUAGGUUUCCCGCAGGUCUAUUUCUGUGAAUAUUUAUAGGUGUAAAGUAUAUGUCAACAUUUUAAUCAAUAUAACUAUAGGUAUCCACCAUUUACCUUACAGAUUUCGAGUAAUUUUAGAUUCGGAGCGUAUCAAGAGAUCUAUUAGUUUUAUUAUGUGUGUUAUUGUUUUAAGAUUCUGAGCAAAACAAGACUGAGUAUUGGCAAUGAUGUUUAUUAUUAUUAUUUUUUUAUCUGUGAAAAACUUUUCUUCCGCCAAUUUUGUUCCGAUUUGCAAUGAUAGCACUUCUUUUGAAAGCAAAUCUGGUUGGGGUAGUACUUUAAGGAGGUCUUUUUUUAAUUUUUCCAGCUGUUUUUAUAAUAAAUGGGAAAACCUGGAAAAAUGGGAAUAUAGGUAUAUUAUUAAACAAAUAUUAUCAAAGAAAAUAUAUAAUGCAUAUUUAAUUAUUUUACCGUAAUAUGACAUAUAUAUUAUUGACAAAACAAUACUAUAUUAACUGAACUUCAUUUAUUUGAAUCGUUUUUUCGUUAAAAACGGUUAAUCGUUGCUAACAGAUAUACAUUAAAUUACCUAUAACAGUGGCUGCACCGGUCCCUAUUAUCCUAGGACAGCAAUUUUCAAAUUACGGCGUUACGAUUUCAUUUUUUUUAUUAUUUUUUUUUAUUAUUACGGCUUAUGUUUUCUACCAUAAAUAUAGCUCCAAUAGAAAAACAUCAAGAGAUCUUUCUUAUUGAAUUUUUAAUCUUGUCGGUGACCAAAAUAGUCGUUUUUUGAUUUUCUUCGUAUUGAAUGGAAAUUGUAUAAAUUAUCUAAAUUAUCGCAUUUCUAAACAUGCUUAAUCGAACUUCAGAACGGUUUUUCAUUUGUAAUGGUUAAUCGUUGAUUACAGAUAUAAAUUAAACAACUUUAUGUAUCUCAACUUCCCCACUCCCCAUCUACAACAGUUGCCGCACUCGUCCCCGGUAUUGGCCCUUUUUUUUAGAUUAAUAAUGCCUUUUUAUUAUUACAGGUUAUUUUGUAUCAUGUGCUAGCAUAGAUAUAAAAGUGGCGUUUUUUGUGGGUAAAUGGUUCAUGGUACCAUUUCAAAUGUGUUCGGGAUUUUUUUUAAACGUCAGGUGAAUAAUAAUUUAAAAUAUAAUAUAAAUUAUAGGUACCAACAUUUUGUGCAAUUUCGAAUUAUUUAAGUAUAAUGCUCUUUUUAUAUUGCCUUAUGUACUUAUAUUGUAAUUAUAUACCUAAUUAAAUAAAUAGUAAUUUGUUUUUAAAGUUCAAUCCCGUAUUACUUUCGAUGGUUCAGUAUUUUUUCGUGGUGCAAGUAUACUUACGAAGGACUUCGUAUUAACCAAUGGUCGGACAUCAAGUCGAUCCAAUGCAACAAAAUCAAUAUGACUAUGUGUUUACGUUCGGGUCACGAUGUUUUAGAAUCGGAUGACAUAUUAGAGGUAAAACGACAAAAAUCAAUUAGUUGUAUCUAAAAUAUUCACUCAUAUUUGGUGAAAAUAUAUAUAUUAGACAUCUUUCAGAAAAUUAUGAAAAGUUAUUAGUUGUUUCUAUAGGUACCUAUAUAAUUAUAAAAUCUAUAUUUAUUUUGACUUUAUUAAAGAAUAAAAUAUAAUAGAAUUAAAAACCCCAUAGGCGUAAUUUCGAUAAAAUUCGGGUGAUGGGGGGGGGGGGUUUGAAAAACUGACAUUUACGUACCUAAGUAAUAAAAUAACUAAUAAAUAAAAAAAAAUCUAGAAGAAAUGUAUUUAAUAAUAAAUAGAUAUUAACAUAAACCCUAAGUAAAACCCAUAAUUAAAACUACUCACAAUAUGUGAUCAUUAGAGAACGGAUUUAUAUGCACUUAAAAUCCAUAAAAAGUGCUUAAAACCAUCAAAAAGGCCAAAAAAAAUAAUUUAAAAAUAUUUAAAAGAACAAUAAUGAUAGAGGGGUUUAAUAUUCCUUCAAUGUAGAACCAUUAAAGGUGGGACUAAAACCACUCUACCACUUUUACUUUUUUUAAUAUUUUGAAGUACUUUUUUAACGAUUUAAGCGCUUUUUUACUGUUUUUAAGUGCAUAUAAAGAUUAUUGAUAGCAUAGCAACAAUUUUCGCGACCACGUAGUAUCACCAUUAAUCAAUUUUGUGGUAAUUUCACUUAUACGAAAAAUGAUAAGAAACGUUUUAGAAAACCCGACCCGGUCGCAUAUUAACAAACUGCAUACGAAAUAAAAUACUACCCGACGUGGAUUUGCUUAACAAAUCAGGGUUUAUUUUCGAUUAGCGAGGAUACAAAAUUAUAGUAUUACACCCCACAAAAAUUCAAGGGGGUACAGGCGCACCUUUUGUGCCCCCAAGAUUAUGCCCAUGAAAAACCAUUUAGUCUCUUGAUCAAAUUUCUAUUAUUAUUUUUCAGGAGAACAUUACCACGGAUAUAAUUUCAUUACUUUUGUUAAUCAUUGGCUUUCGAUUUAUGGCGUUUCUAUCUCUCCUUAUCAAAACGUCGAGGAAGUAAAUUAUUCAAUGAAUUAAUAAAAUAUAAUGUGUGUUUAAUUAAGGGUGUUUUCGAUUUGAAUAAUAAGUGCAAACAUUUUGCACUCAGUUUGCAUUGAGAGCUAAAGUAUAAUAUUUGAUUUAAUCAAAACUCAAUGGGUAGUGUUUCAUAAUCGAUUUGGCGUACUGACCACGGUUAUUUCACGGUUACUCAGUACUGUAGUUAUUUACUCGAGAGAUAAUCGUGGUAUUAACUAAUCUAGAGCUCACGAGAUGCAUAACCAAUUUUCACGGUGCACUAACAACUAUGAAUUCCAUUUCUUCAUCACGGGCGAAAUAAUUAUUAAUAAUUACUUAUUAAUACUAACUACUAACUAAUUACUAACUACUAGUAAAUAAC
Molecule: long non-coding RNA, 7104 nt
Filed under: Cinara cedri
Lineage: Eukaryota; Metazoa; Arthropoda; Insecta; Hemiptera; Aphididae
Source: RNAcentral